Molecule: non-coding RNA, 23 nt
Filed under: Cricetulus griseus (Chinese hamster)
Lineage: Eukaryota; Metazoa; Chordata; Mammalia; Rodentia; Cricetidae
Source: RNAcentral
GAUUUUUCUGGACUUUGGCUUGG